CUGCGAAUGGCUCAUUAUAUCAGUUAUAGUUUAUUUGAUGAAGAAUACUAAUUGGAUAACCGUAGUAAUUCUAGAGCUAAUACAUGUAUAAAGUCUUGUAGACUGCAUUUAUUAGAAUGAAAACCAUAGGUUUCGGCCUAUUCGUGAGUAAUAAUAACUAAUCAUAUCGUAUGCUUAUGUAACGAUGUGUCUUUCAAGUUUCUGCCCUAUCAGCUUUCGAUGGUA
RNAcentral lists this ribosomal RNA (225 nucleotides) under uncultured Blastocystis sp. Its description in RNAcentral is "partial small subunit ribosomal RNA". It matches the Rfam family "Eukaryotic small subunit ribosomal RNA", at positions 87 to 330 of the family's 1831-position model. The record is from RNAcentral. Lineage: Eukaryota; Bigyra; Opalinata; Blastocystidae.